This 483-nucleotide unclassified non-coding RNA is filed under the name Hevea brasiliensis (rubber tree). Lineage: Eukaryota; Viridiplantae; Streptophyta; Magnoliopsida; Malpighiales; Euphorbiaceae. The record is from RNAcentral.
GCUUCUUUCAAGUCUAAAGGACACUCCCUUUGUACUUCAAUGAUUGGAAGGCGCACAGAAAUAAGCUCGCAGAAUAGCUCAAGGAUCUCUUGAGCAGCCAUCAUGUUUUCUUCUCUUAUUAUAUGCUCUACCCGAAUGCGAGCAGUCGCUUCUUGGCCAGUCUCAAGAAGCUUAGCAAUGUCUCGACGCAUUUGCUUUACCUGAAUCUCUCUCCUAUUCCUCAGCAACUUUAUACGCGGUGUAGUCAACUUAAGCAGGGUUUUACAUUUCGCAGCUUUAAAGCCCUUGUUGAAGAAGGAAUCGAGCAUCGACAUGACUGACUGCUCACGAUCAGAUCAGAAAGUGGGAAUUUAACCUCCUGCUACGCUCAGAUGACGCGUAAUUACAAGCAAUGCUUUGCUUCCUUACGAUAGAAGGCUUCGAGGCUAUUCGGGUUUGUUUGUGUUAUAUAUGAAGAAAAAUAGGAAAGGAAUCGCAAAUUCG